RNAcentral lists this ribosomal RNA (616 nucleotides) under Papiliotrema laurentii. RNAcentral's name for it is "partial large subunit ribosomal RNA". It matches the Rfam family "Eukaryotic large subunit ribosomal RNA", at positions 68 to 664 of the family's 3401-position model. The record is from RNAcentral. Lineage: Eukaryota; Fungi; Basidiomycota; Tremellomycetes; Tremellales; Rhynchogastremaceae.
ACAUGGAUUCCCUAGUAACGGCGAGUGAACCGGGAAGAGCUCAAAUUUGAAAUCUGGCGUCCUCAGGGCGUCCGAGUUGUAAUCUAUAGAGGCGUUUUCCGUGCCGGACCGUGUCCAAGUUCCUUGGAACAGGAUAUCAAAGAGGGUGACAAUCCCGUACUUGACACGACGACCGGUGCUCUGUGAUACGUCUUCUACGAGUCGAGUUGUUUGGGAAUGCAGCUCAAAAUGGGUGGUGAGUUCCAUCUAAAGCUAAAUAUUGGCGAGAGACCGAUAGCGAACAAGUACCGUGAGGGAAAGAUGAAAAGCACUUUGGAAAGAGAGUUAAACAGUACGUGAAAUUGUUGAAAGGGAAACGAUUGAAGUCAGUCGUGACCGAGAGGCUCAGCCGGUUCUGCCGGUGUAUUCCCCUCGGUCGGGUCAACAUCAGUUUUGUCCGGUGGAUAAGGGCGGUAGGAAGGUGGCACCCUCGGGUGUGUUAUAGCCUGCCGUCGCAUACAUCGGGUGAGACUGAGGAACGCAGCUCGCCUUUAUGGCCGGGGUUCGCCCACGUCCGAGCUUAGGAUGUUGACAUAAUGGCUUUAAACGACCCGUCUUGAAAMAMGGGACMCAAAAA